Molecule: unclassified non-coding RNA, 148 nt
Organism: Callithrix jacchus (white-tufted-ear marmoset)
Lineage: Eukaryota; Metazoa; Chordata; Mammalia; Primates; Cebidae
Rfam family: Metazoan signal recognition particle RNA
About the family: The signal recognition particle (SRP) is a universally conserved ribonucleoprotein. It is involved in the co-translational targeting of proteins to membranes.
Source: Ensembl
GCUGGGCGUGGUGGCGCAUGCCUUUAAUCCCAACUACUUGGGAGGCUGAGGCAGGAGAAUUGCUUGAACCUGGGAGGCAGAGAUUGCAGUGAGCUGAGAUCAUGCCACUGCACUAUAUCCUGGGUAACAGAGUAAGACUCUGUCUCAA